Molecule: non-coding RNA, 100 nt
Organism: Chiloscyllium plagiosum (whitespotted bambooshark)
Lineage: Eukaryota; Metazoa; Chordata; Chondrichthyes; Orectolobiformes; Hemiscylliidae
Source: RefSeq, a predicted model, not a curated record
CUUGUGCAGUCUUAAUUGAUGAUGGUUCAGUUGUAAUUUCUUCAGAAUUUUCAGUGGAUGCAAAGCUUGACAUAAUUCUCUAAGUAUUUGUUGACUGAUA